AAUGAUUUACUUGACGCCUUGAGAAUGAUCCAAUCUGAUCUGAUCUAGCAAGCUAAGCAGGGUUGGAGCUGGUUAUUACUUGGAUGGGAGACCACUGGAAAUACUUGGUACAACAGUG
Molecule: ribosomal RNA, 118 nt
Filed under: Periophthalmus magnuspinnatus
Lineage: Eukaryota; Metazoa; Chordata; Actinopteri; Gobiiformes; Gobiidae
Source: RNAcentral